This 225-nucleotide unclassified non-coding RNA is filed under the name Hevea brasiliensis (rubber tree). The record is from RNAcentral. Lineage: Eukaryota; Viridiplantae; Streptophyta; Magnoliopsida; Malpighiales; Euphorbiaceae.
CAGUGGAUCAAAGUUCCAAUGGCAAUACUGGAAAAAGAAAGAACUUUGGGGAACCAAGGAGAGGUAAAAAGUCUAGAAGGGAAAGAUUUUCUGGGCAGAGACCCCCUCAAUCUGGUCCGCAGACAACCAAAAGUUCUCACCCUCCCUGCCCCUAUGAGACAUGUGGCAAGACCCAUGGUGGGAUAUGUUACUGGGCUUCAGGAGCCUGUUUUAACUGUGGGGGUA